GGGCACUUAGCUCAGUUGGUAGAGCGUUGCGUUUACAUCGCAAAGGUCGGGGGAUCAUAACCCUCAGUGCCCA
RNAcentral lists this transfer RNA (73 nucleotides) under Candidatus Gottesmanbacteria bacterium. Its description in RNAcentral is "tRNA-Val". It matches the Rfam family "tRNA". From Rfam's summary of the family: Transfer RNA (tRNA) molecules are approximately 80 nucleotides in length. Their secondary structure includes four short double-helical elements and three loops (D, anti-codon, and T loops). Lineage: Bacteria; Candidatus Gottesmaniibacteriota. The record is from RNAcentral.